Molecule: long non-coding RNA, 1686 nt
Organism: Rhinolophus ferrumequinum (greater horseshoe bat)
Lineage: Eukaryota; Metazoa; Chordata; Mammalia; Chiroptera; Rhinolophidae
Exons: 6
Source: RefSeq, a predicted model, not a curated record
CCGCCCUCUUUCCGAGGCCGGCCUCAUGGCUGGAAGUCAUGGCGGCGUCUAUCCGACUCGAGGGCGGCGAGCAGCCUCAGGCCUUUGGAAGCCUUUCUUGGCCAUCUGCAGAGACAGCAAGAAGCGGACCUGCAGGUUGAAGCUUAAAAAUUAAAUGUGUUGGCUGUGGACUUGGACAAAAGUCACAUGAAAAACAUCAUCUUAAGAUGUUCCAGUGUAAGGAUCUUUGUGAUGAAAUUUCUAUAAAUGGACAGCCGCAGCCUCGGUCUGUGAGGCGGAAGCGGAUCCUCCAGAAGGCACUUAACCAGCAGCAGCACGUGUCCGCUGCCCUGGACGCAGUGGGCUUGUUCUCGUAUGUCUGCAGUGUGAGACAGAACUGAAUUGCUUUGCCCGAAGCGAGUGACGAUGCCUCUCCUGUUGCUGGUGGCCUCCCAGUGGUGCCAGACAGGAUCAGCAAGCCUCUGCCGCUCGUUGCUCAUGUCUGUCAAGUAAUCCCCCAAAAGGAGAAUCAUUUCAGAGUUCUUUGGACCUUUAUCUUCAAAAGGAGCCAAAGAAUUCGAGUGACAGUGAGUUUAUCCCAGAAAAUCUUGGGCAGUUAGUGAGACUAAGAAUGUUGAGAACACCACUUUCGUAAUCAUGUAUUGGCGGGACUGCGAGCGAUUAUAAAUUGAAGGUAAUUAACGUGUAUAUGCUCUUGUGGGAAACAAGAGGAAACAGGUGCGUGGCCUAGAAAAACAUUUCUUGGGAGUGGAUUUCCUGUGAAGUCCAUGUGUGUCCUGGGCUUAAAUUUUGAAGCACAAAUAAAAAUUUUUUGAAAUGACUCACUAACAUUGUGGCAUCAGAUUGAGGCCCACAUAAGAACAGUAUUUCAUUCUGUGACUCAGUAAACGCAUUCUUCUAUAAGUGAAAGUUUCAAAGGCUAUUAAUUGGUGCUAACGUAUACAGGAUGCAAUCAGAUGUUCAACUUUACCACUAAAUUGAGUUUAUACCCCUUCUAAUGAGUUGCCACCAACAAAUAUAAUAACUAGGACUUCUCAAAUUCAGUGGAUUGACAGAGGUUCUGAUAACUACAGACUUGAUGGGAAUAGGGAAAAGUAAAUAAUGUAUUACUGAUAAAAAGGGGGUCCAGGCAGCAGGAAGCUAUGGUUUCCUCAAGUAGCUGCUUUAGUAAUUAAAGCCCAAAUGUCUAGUCUGUUUGUCACAUCUCUGAAUUUCUAAAGUAGCAGUAUUUUGGAUCUAGUGAUAGAGUUCAUCCCUCUUGUUAAACAUGCUGAUAGGAUCAGCCUUCCAGAACCAGAGGCCAGGUCCUGGGCCUUGGUGAAUCGAGCAAUGGUGACUGAUGCCAUCUUGGGAAGGCUCUUGCCAGCCAGCCCUGUGGAGACACGACCCCGUCGGCCCUACAGUAUAGACAUCAGACUAUCCUGAAAGCUACUCGUCAUAAGGCCAGGAAAUCCCAGGGCCUCUUAAGGGCUGUAUGGUGAUAACUCGGCCGGUCAAGACCUUGUACUUCCGAUAGAAGCCCAUAUAACUGUCUUAAAUGAAACUGCCUGUCAACUAAGUUCAAAUUACUGAAGCCAUGAUGUUCAAUACUCGACAAUGAGGGUUCAAUACCUGAUAAUGUCAUCCUUUUGAGACAAGGUGGGGUCAUAUAUCUCUAAUGGGACUUCCCUGAGAGGGAGGCAGCCU